This 113-nucleotide ribosomal RNA is filed under the name Drosophila yakuba. Lineage: Eukaryota; Metazoa; Arthropoda; Insecta; Diptera; Drosophilidae. The record is from RNAcentral.
GCCAACGACCAUACACGCGAAUACAUCGGUUGUAGCCGAUCACGAAAUUAAGCAGCGUCGGCGCGGUUAUACUUAGAUGAGGGACGCCUUGGGAACACCGAGUGUUGUUGGCC